This 433-nucleotide ribosomal RNA is filed under the name uncultured bacterium. RNAcentral describes it as "partial 16S ribosomal RNA". It matches the Rfam family "Bacterial small subunit ribosomal RNA", at positions 29 to 507 of the family's 1533-position model. The record is from RNAcentral.
AACGAACGCUGGCGGCAUGCCUAACACAUGCAAGUCGAGCGAGACCUUCGGGUCUAGUGGCGCACGGGUGCGUAACGCGUGGGAACCUGCCCCUAGGUUCGGAAUAACUCCCCGAAAGGGGUGCUAAUACCGGAUAAUGUCUUCGGACCAAAGAUUUAUCGCCUUUGGAUGGGCCCGCGUUGGAUUAGCUAGUUGGUAGGGUAAAAGCCUACCAAGGCGACGAUCCAUAGCUGGUCUGAGAGGAUGAUAAGCCACACUGGGACUGAGACACGGCCCAGACUCCUACGGGAGGCAGCAGUGGGGAAUAUUGGACAAUGGGCGAAAGCCUGAUCCAGCAAUGCCGCGUGAGUGAUGAAGGCCUUAGGGUUGUAAAGCUCUUUUACCCGGGAUGAUAAUGACAGUACCGGGAGAAUAAGCUCCGGCUAACUCCGUG